This 505-nucleotide ribosomal RNA is filed under the name uncultured beta proteobacterium. Its description in RNAcentral is "bacterial SSU rRNA". It matches the Rfam family "Bacterial small subunit ribosomal RNA", at positions 235 to 732 of the family's 1533-position model. Lineage: Bacteria; Pseudomonadati; Pseudomonadota; Betaproteobacteria. The record is from RNAcentral.
GCCGGAUUAGCUAGUUGGUGGGGUAAUGGCCCACCAAGGCGACGAUCCGUAGCUGGUCUGAGAGGACGACCAGCCACACUGGGACUGAGACACGGCCCAGACUCCUACGGGAGGCAGCAGUGGGGAAUUUUGGACAAUGGGCGCAAGCCUGAUCCAGCCAUUCCGCGUGCAGGAUGAAGGCCCUCGGGUUGUAAACUGCUUUUGUACGGUACGAUACGCGCUGAGCUAAUACCUCGGCGUAAUGACGGUACCGUAAGAAUAAGCACCGGCUAACUACGUGCCAGCAGCCGCGGUAAUACGUAGGGUGCAAGCGUUAAUCGGAAUUACUGGGCGUAAAGCGUGCGCAGGCGGUGAUGUAAGACAGAUGUGAAAUCCCCGGGCUCAACCUGGGAACUGCAUUUGUGACUGCAUCGCUGGAGUGCGGCAGAGGGGGAUGGAAUUCCGCGUGUAGCAGUGAAAUGCGUAGAUAUGCGGAGGAACACCGAUGGCGAAGGCAAUCCCCUGG